AUUCUUUUAGUCCCCACAACCAGGACAGCACAAUUACUCUAAAUUGCCUUGAUGGCUCUAGAUAAUGAAUUCCUGACAACUCAGUGAUUUCGGAGACCGAAAACUGUAAUUUAGAUAACAUGCCUAAGUUUAACCCAG
Long non-coding RNA from Myotis davidii, 138 nucleotides. RefSeq lists it as uncharacterized. Lineage: Eukaryota; Metazoa; Chordata; Mammalia; Chiroptera; Vespertilionidae. The record is from RefSeq and is a predicted model, not a curated record. The transcript has 3 exons.